CUCGGGGAGAGGAAAAGAAAGAGGAAAAAAAAGAGAAAGGGAGGAAGAAAGAAAAUGGGUUGGGCCUCCACCGGUCCAACCUAUCAACCCAAUUCCAAAAAAAAUGAAACACCCCGAAAAUAAUACCCGAAUAAAAAUUACCUUUUACUAGCUAAAAUUUACUAUUUUUACCGUCGUCGUAUUUUCCCCAUACGAAUAAUCCUCCGCACAUAAUCGUCCCCGAAACCCCUUUAGGGACCAAUUAAACUAUUUACAAAAUGACGGAGACGGUAAAAUUCUUAUUAUAAUCAGGCUAGUAAAUAAGGUAAAAAUAUAAGGGUCGGGAUGUGACAAUAUAUAUAUAUAAUAAUAAUAAUC
Molecule: long non-coding RNA, 357 nt
Filed under: Fragaria vesca (wild strawberry)
Lineage: Eukaryota; Viridiplantae; Streptophyta; Magnoliopsida; Rosales; Rosaceae
Description: long non-coding RNA (FVES_LNC005291)
Source: RNAcentral